GCCCAUGUAGCUCAGGGUAGAGCACUCCCUUGGUAAGGGAGAGGUCGGCAGUUCAAAUCUGCCCAUGGGCACCA
This 74-nucleotide transfer RNA is filed under the name Neisseria subflava. RNAcentral describes it as "tRNA-Thr". It matches the Rfam family "tRNA". Rfam says of the family: Transfer RNA (tRNA) molecules are approximately 80 nucleotides in length. Their secondary structure includes four short double-helical elements and three loops (D, anti-codon, and T loops). Lineage: Bacteria; Pseudomonadati; Pseudomonadota; Betaproteobacteria; Neisseriales; Neisseriaceae. The record is from RNAcentral.